UACGAAGGGGGCUAGCGUUGUUCGGAAUCAUUGGGCGUAAAGGGCGCGUAGGUGGCCCGGUCAGUUCGUGGUGAAAGCGCGGGGCUCAACCCUGCGUCGGCCAUGAAUACUGCCGCGGCUGGAGCACUGUAGAGGCAGGCGGAAUUCCGGGUGUAGCGGUGGAAUGCGUAGAGAUCCGGAAGAACACCGGUGGCGAAGGCGGCCUGCUGGGCAGUUGCUGACACUGAGGCGCGACAGCGUGGGGAGCAAACAGG
This 254-nucleotide ribosomal RNA is filed under the name uncultured bacterium. Its description in RNAcentral is "partial 16S ribosomal RNA". It matches the Rfam family "Bacterial small subunit ribosomal RNA", at positions 524 to 776 of the family's 1533-position model. The record is from RNAcentral.